GAUGAACGCUGGCGGCGUGCCUAACACAUGCAAGUCGAGCGAACAGAUGAGGAGCUUGCUCCUCUGACGUUAGCGGCGGACGGGUGAGUAACACGUGGAUAACCUACCUAUAAGACUGGGAUAACUUCGGGAAACAGGAGCUAAUACCGGAUAAUAUAUUGAACCGCAAGGUUCAAUAGUGAAAGACGGUUUUGCUGUCACUUAUAGAUGGAUCCGCGUCGCAUUAGCUAGUUGGUAAGGUAACGGCUUACCAAGGCAACGAUGGGUAGCCGACCUGAGAGGGUGAACCGCCACACUGUAACUGAGACACGGCCCAGACUCCUACGCGAGGCAGCAGUAGGGAAUCUUACGCAAUGGGCGAAAGCCUGACGGAGCAACGCCGCGUGAGUGAUGAAGGUCUUCGGAUCGGAAAGCUCUGUUGGUAGGGAGGAAGUAAAGUGUAAUUAACCAUGCACGUCUUGACGGUACCUAAUCAGAAAGCCCCGGCUAACUUCGUG
Molecule: ribosomal RNA, 497 nt
Filed under: uncultured bacterium
Lineage: Bacteria
Description: partial 16S ribosomal RNA
Rfam family: Bacterial small subunit ribosomal RNA
Source: RNAcentral